This 1964-nucleotide long non-coding RNA is filed under the name Salvia miltiorrhiza (redroot sage). Its description in RNAcentral is "long non-coding RNA (SMIL_LNC006422)". Lineage: Eukaryota; Viridiplantae; Streptophyta; Magnoliopsida; Lamiales; Lamiaceae. The record is from RNAcentral.
AGCCGUACAUCGUAUUAAUCGUGCAAAGUAGACGCCCCCUGGUGGACGUCGUAUUCCACCAAAUAAUUCCUGCAGAAUUAUCAAAACAAAUUAGUAUGAUGAUAAACAGGGUCGAUCCCACAGAGAGCAGGUAAAAUCAUUCAAUUCCCUAAAAUCUAUAAUUUUGGUGAUGCCACCACGCCUUAAUUUUAAGAAGAAUUAAUUAAAACUAAAACUGCAAAAUUAAUCAAAUAAAAGACUCUUGAAUUAAAUCAAUUAAAAAGAUAAUUCGGCUCAAAUAAAUCCACACUAAUUUAAAGCUCUGAUCAUCGACGCAAUAAUUAAUUAAUCUCAAUCAACCAACCAGUUAUAGGAUACCGUGAAACGCAACGGACGUACCCCAAUUCCUACUUACUGUGUCGAUAAACAGCUGGAGACGCCAGACCUGCUUAUUUCCCUUAUUAAAAUAUAACCUAGCUGGAGACGCCAGACCUAGAUUUAAUAUUCUAAUAGCAUUAAGAUGAAGGAACCCAGUUUAUAUCAAUUAUCCUAGAUACGCUAGUAAUAAUUAAUAUACCAAUUAAUUCCUACUACGAACACGGUAGUUUUAUCACUAAUCAGCCCUAUUCCAAUAAUUACGGAUUGGAGGUGCUAAUUGACUGUAAUCCAAUUAAACCUAAGUUGGUCAGACUUAAAUAAAAUCAGAAUUAUCUCUAAACUCUAGGAAUUAAUCGAAAUCAAUAGGAACCAAUUUUAUGCUCAAUUAGAUCUCACAGAUUAAUAAAUUAAUGCUUCAUUAUUCUCGCCGAAUUAAAGAAUUAGCUACUCAUAAUUAAAACUAGAACAAUCAAAUAAAUAAAAGCAAACAUAAAAACAAUCGAAAUAAAUUGCAAGUAAAUUAAAGACACCACUUGAACAAAGAAUUGUCGCCUGCCCAAAUACUUGAUGCAGCCGCCAAUUACCCAAGCAACAAAAGCAAGUAAUUGUAAAAUCCUAAAGCUAAUGGAAUUGUAUAAUGCCAAAAUAAAAAACUAAGCAAAUAAAUAACGUGUAGUGCUAUAAUUGAAAAGGAAUCAAAAAGGUGUUCUCCAAAACCAAGUCAAACUCGUCUCUCUCCAAUCUCAAAUUGCGGCUAUUCUCUCUAAAACAAAGAUGACAACCUAAUUAAAUCCUAACCUCUAUCUAAUAUAUAUGUGCGGUUAUAUGUAAAAACUAGUUCAAUGGGAAUUAGAAUCCCUUAAGUAGCCGACUCUAUCUAACAAUAUGGGCUUCGGCCCCUUUAAUAAAACACAACCCAAAAUAAUUAAAGGGUAAUUUUAAACAUAGCCCCCAAUUUUCUCCUUAUAGCCUCUUAUUAAAAAUAAUAAUAAAAAUAAUUACGAUUGUACUAAUAUACCCUUAUAACUUCAUUUAAAAAUUAUAAUAAAAAAAUAAAUUUAUAAAAAAUAAUUUUCAAACACUCUAGCGUACAAUCUCAAAUUUUUCAUAACCCCAACUCAAAUAAUUCCAACUUAUUUUUGUAGCCCCAUUAAAAAUUUAAGAACAUGAAUGAGAAUAAUGGAGAAGAACAUAAAUACUUUUGUAGCCCCUCCCUGGCCGCCAUCCGCUCGUCGGCACGUCGGAGCCGCUCAUGGGCCUCAAACCCAAGGGCGAGUGGACCGCCGCCAAAUUCUCCGCACCAAAAAGGGCUUUCGUGGGAUACCGGGCGUGACGCCGUCGAAUCGCUGAGGAUUUUGAAGUCGGUGCCCUUGGAUUUUGAUCAGUGUACGCCGGUGAAGGGCAGGCCGCCGAGUGCGGUGAAAUUCUCUGGGAAUUUUCCGAUGUCGCCGGCGAUCAGAGGGCGGGAGAUGAGGGAUGGGAGCGCCGUCAGGUCCUCGGCCGGCGGCACUCUCCUAUCGAAAAUGAUGGAGACACCAAUGAUGAGGAAGAGUUGCGUCAUCACGCCCUCUGCGUAUAAUACUCUCGAAGCAGAAGGUGAAGCCGAC